GACGAACGCUGGCGGCGUGCCUAAUACAUGCAAGUCGAACGCACUCUCGUUUAGAUUGAAGGAGCUUGCUCCUGAUUGAUAAACAUUUGAGUGAGUGGCGGACGGGUGAGUAACACGUGGGUAACCUGCCCUAAAGUGGGGGAUAACAUUUGGAAACAGAUGCUAAUACCGCAUAAAACCUAACACCGCAUGGUGUAAGGGUUGAAAGAUGGUUUCGGCUAUCACUUUAGGAUGGACCCGCGGUGCAUUAGUUAGUUGGUGAGGUAAAGGCUCACCAAGACCGUGAUGCAUAGCCGACCUGAGAGGGUAAUUCGGCCACACUGGGACUGAGACACGGCCCAGACUCCUACGGGAGGCAGCAGUAGGGAAUCUUCCACAAUGGACGAAAGUCUGAUGGAGCAACGCCGCGUGAGUGAAGAA
RNAcentral lists this ribosomal RNA (420 nucleotides) under uncultured bacterium. RNAcentral's name for it is "bacterial SSU rRNA". It matches the Rfam family "Bacterial small subunit ribosomal RNA", at positions 28 to 412 of the family's 1533-position model. The record is from RNAcentral.